GAAUGACUUCAGUCGUUCGGGCGGGGAGCAUCUGGUUUGGGACCAGAGGGUCGAAGGUUCAAGUCCUUUCAUUUU
RNAcentral lists this transfer RNA (75 nucleotides) under Candidatus Magasanikiibacteriota bacterium. RNAcentral describes it as "tRNA-Pro". The record is from RNAcentral. Lineage: Bacteria; Candidatus Magasanikiibacteriota. RNAcentral also lists the same sequence under 1 other name.